This 443-nucleotide ribosomal RNA is filed under the name uncultured bacterium. Its description in RNAcentral is "partial 16S ribosomal RNA". It matches the Rfam family "Bacterial small subunit ribosomal RNA", at positions 338 to 795 of the family's 1533-position model. The record is from RNAcentral.
CCUACGGGAGGCAGCAGUGGGGAAUAUUGGGCAAUGGGCGCAAGCCUGACCCAGCAACGCCGCGUGAAGGAAGACGGUUUUCGGGUUGUAAACUUCUUUUCUCAGGGACGAAGAAAGUGACGGUACCUGAGGAAUAAGCCACGGCUAACUACGUGCCAGCAGCCGCGGUAAUACGGAGGGGGCAAGCGUUAUCCGGAUUUAUUGGGUGAAAAGGGCGUGUAGGCGGGAGCGUAAGGCAGAUGGGAAAACUCAGGGCUCAACCCUGGGCCUGCAUUUGAAACUGUGUAUCUUGAGUGCGGGAGAGGCAAGCGGAAUUCCUGGUGUAGCGGUGAAAUGCGUAGAUAUACGGAAGAACACCAGUGGCGAAGGCGGCCUUCUGGGCUUUAACUGACGCUGAGGCUCGAAAGCGUGGGGAGCGAACAGGAUUAGAUACCCCUGUAGUC